UGAAGGACUCAGUAACAUCAGAGUCAGUUACAGGUUUCUCUGACCUUUCUCAAUGCUCUCCUUCCUACCCCAUGCAACUGCUGCUAUCUAAAUUGUUUAGAGUUACUCUGAGGAAAAAAGAUAUUCUUGGAUUAAGCUGGCUGCAGGACUCCUGCCUGUCUGGCUUCAUGGUGGCUCAGAUGAAAAGAAGAAAUGAAAAUCUCUUUACACAGAGGUGUGGAAAAACUGCCUUACCAUGGUGUUCAUGAAACUAAACACUGGCAUGGGUGUAAGGAGGCACAUAUGAUUUGGUGAAUGCUUUCCUCCAGACACGCCUCAAUAAGAUGAACCAAAUAACCUUCAGCAGACCUCCAAAGGCAUCUUGCCCUCUUUGCUGACUGAACAUGGAACUUGAUCUGGUUUCCUGAAGGUGGCUUGGAUGGUAUGCCUCAUUUCACUUUUGGGAUGUAAUUGUGCCUGCCAAGAUUAUCUUGAACCAAAGGGAACUGCAAGUACUGUCAAGGAGGAAGUGAGACAAUGGCACAGAGAUAAGGCAUCUUUGGGUUUAACGUCAAAAAAGUUAAACAAUGGUCAAGCAAUUGACUGGGAGAAUGUUAAUUCUAGGUGCCAAGCAGAGCUGCAUAGGCUAUUUGCUUAGGCUAAGGAUCAAGCUGAAGCAUUUAUCACUGUACUUUAGAAAGUCCGAAGUAAAGUGAGAUAAAGGUAGAGCUUGGGAGGCAGCAGCUUCAUACAGUACAGGUGAUCAAAACACAGCAGUGUGUCCACAACUGUGCUGCCCCAAGGGGAGUGAGAAAUUGCAAAGUCAAGAGGAGUACUAAGCCUGCACAUUUUUUUGUUUCCGCUCACUAUGGCCUGAGUCAGAAUUAUUAAUGUGUUUCCCUGUAAGAAACUGAGUUUAAAUCUGCAGCCUGUGGUCACAUCUAUGGGCAGUGUUUUCUGAAAGGGGAAAAGGGUCUGUGAUGUGGGGAGGUGCAGCAGAUUCCUAGCUCACUGGUGGAAGCAGGGUUUGAUUAGUUGGUGGGAUUUCUGUUGAGAGAGUGAGCCCAUUCCAUCUGGCUUGUGAGCAGGGUAGGUCCCAGCAAGUCAGUGGUGCAUGUGGAGGCCAGGGAGGAGGGUCUGUGAGUCUGGGGAGUUUUUGGUGUGGCAGAGGAAUGGCUCCAGUUUCCAUAUUUUCUCCAUGUGCUAGUCUGCUGCUGUCUGGGAUGGCGAAAGGAAAAUUUGUGAUUUGUGGCAAGCACAGCUGGCCCUGCCACAUCAGUCAGGCAGAAAAAAAGGGGAAGAUUUCAUCAGAGGUUGUAAUAUAUUCACCCAGAGAUCCAGUCUAAAGCACUGGUUGCCACAGUUAAAGAUGUGAAGGAAGCUCUGCCUGUCAUCUCUCAAGGAUGUGCACAGAAGGAAGGGAAAGGCAGAGUUCACCCUGAGGCCAGGAUACCCAGUGACACAUUUAGUCCUAUGGAUGAAGUGAUGGAGGACUCUGUUUUUCGGGUUGAAAAAUAUGAGUGUAUCUCUGAAGGCUGUAUGCAUUGAGAAGAGAUUAUUGUAUACAGUACAGUUUAUUCCUUCUUUUAAUUGAUCAGAAAAGAAAAAUUUAUGAAAUUGUAUUAAGCCAGCUCUGUUAACAGGGAACUUAUUCAAGAUUGCAAACAGAGGAAAUGAGAACCUAGGAAAUGUCAAAACAAUCACUUCCUCUGAAGCUGUAAUCAAUCCCUUCCUUGCAUGUUCGUGUUAUGAUACAGUUCUUCAGUGGCAUAGCAGUGUGGUCUUUGUCUACAGGAUUCAGUGCACAGCAGAAUCAGUACAAUGCAUAAGAGCUGUUAACAAAUAAAACAAAGAGAUAAGUCUAAAAAUGCAUUCCAGCAGAGCUAGUUGGUUUUUAUCCAAACAAUCAGUACUAGUCUCCAAAUAAAAUAUCUUCAUCCAUCAAGAAACCCUUGGGAAUUAAAAACCCACCUAGUUAAACAGAAAAAUAAAAUGUAAAUAUGUCCACAAAGUCUUGUUGCUGAAAUAUGUAUCACUUUGCUAAAUAAAACUGACACUGUGAUAUUGGAGAAGUGAUUAGGAGCCCAAAGUGUGUUCUUCCAGUGGAAAAAGCUAUAUAUAAAAGAAAAGGAAACAAAAGGACUUUAAGUUCAUUUGUCCCUAUUCAUGGUUUAUGUGACAAAUAACUACAAGCUCAGAUGUUCCAGAACUGCAAGCUUUCUAAGUCACCUUUAACAUUUUUGUAUUCAAUAAGGUUGCCUCGGCAGUGCCAUAACCCAGAGUUUUGUAACAUUUGCCCAAGGGAGUAUUUAUUUGUGGGUUCGUUGUCCACAUCCUAUGGCCACUAUUGCCAGUUGCUGAGGUAGUUUACAGAAGUAUAAAUACUGUCCAAAUAUCAUUUCUCCCUGUAAACAAUUUCAAAUGAAAGGGGUCAAGGCUGACAUCAUCAGGUGCUGAAGCUGUGAAGAGAGGCAGAGAACAGUUCAAGAGGCACCCUGUCUAUCAAUGUGGGAGUCUCACCAUCACUUUUGGCCUAGGUCUGUAUAACUGGAUCCAAAACAAAUGUCUACCCCUGUGUUUAACCUUCUGCACCAGGUUAAAACUGAGGCAGGCAGGCAUGCUUUCAUAGUUCUCCUCAUUCCCCUCUUCUCCCAUUUCCUCCUACACAAUCUGCUCCCUGCAGAGAGGGAGCCAGGGCUGGGCAGCAGGUGCAGAGCAGCAGGGGCAUGGCCAGGGACAGCUGUGCACCACGGUGGCCCCACUGAGGGCAGAGACAGCACGGCCCCUGCAGCAGCAUUCACCCACAGGAACUGCCCUCCCUGCAAAAGGGAAAGGGGCAGCUUCCUCAAGGGAAAGAGCAAACCUUAUUUUCCUCCAGGAAAACAGAGAUAACAGACAGGUCAUGUUCCUCAAACAUGACCUUGCCAGGUCAAAAAUCACAUUUUCCAGCCAUCUUCUUUCCAUCCAUAGCUCCAACUACUUCUGGCUGAGGCUCUGGGGUGUUCUCUCAGAUGGAGGCUUAUGAAGUCACUGUGCAGCCCAAGAAGAGCUCAGCUCUGCUAGAGAGCUCCAAAAAGACCCAGUAUUCAGUGAUCUCUCCAGCUGUCAGACUGGAGAGAGAGAAAUGGUGAGAGUAGUAGGCAGUUUGCUGGAUUGGGACCCCGGGUCCCCCAUGCUGCUGUGCUGAGCAGCUUGGCCUGCAGUCAUCCUCCUGCACCCUGGGCCUCACUGUGUCCCCUCCUCCAUGGGACAUGCUGGUUUUACUCUGCCCUUGCGCUGUCUCACUCUCUAACCUGCAGAGAACAACUCUCCCUUUUUGUUGGGUUAGGAGGCUGCAAUGGCCCAGAAGUGAGAGAGGCAUGGCAAGUGGGACCAGAGUCAAGAGGAGCAGGGAGAUGUUCUUGGACUGGCACCCCUAACAUGCCAUCAGAGGCAAUGUGGCUGGAAUUAUUUGGUGCAUCCUAAGGCAACAGCUCUGCACUUCCACGCUGCCCUUCUCUGCGUCCUUCUCUCCCUUUCCUCCCUGCUAUCACAGCUACACCACCAAAUAUUCUGCUCCUCAGCUUCAUCUCUUGUUUCACUCCAUGCAAGCCAGUUCAAUCCAGCAGAAUGUUCUACACCUAACUUUUG
Non-coding RNA from Zonotrichia albicollis (white-throated sparrow), 3609 nucleotides. The record is from RefSeq and is a predicted model, not a curated record. NCBI's taxonomy places the organism in Eukaryota, Metazoa, Chordata, Aves, Passeriformes, Passerellidae.